AGCAGAUGAAUGGGAGUAAAGUGCGCGUAGGCGGAUCGUUAAGUCAGAGGUGAAAUCCCAGGGCUCAACCCUGGAACUGCCUUUGAUACUGGCGAUCUUGAGUAUGAGAGAGGUAUGUGGAACUCCGAGUGUAGAGGUGAAAUUCGUAGAUAUUCGGAAGAACACCAGUGGCGAAGGCGACAUACUGGCUCAUUACUGACGCUGAGGCGCGAAAGCGUGGGGAGCAAACAGGAUUAGAUACCCUGGUAGUCCACGCCGUAAACGAUGAUUGCUAGUUGUCGGGCUGCAUGCAGUUCGGUGACG
Molecule: ribosomal RNA, 303 nt
Filed under: uncultured Brevundimonas sp.
Lineage: Bacteria; Pseudomonadati; Pseudomonadota; Alphaproteobacteria; Caulobacterales; Caulobacteraceae
Description: bacterial SSU rRNA
Rfam family: Bacterial small subunit ribosomal RNA
Source: RNAcentral